This 906-nucleotide long non-coding RNA is filed under the name Brassica napus (rape). RNAcentral's name for it is "long non-coding RNA (BNAP_LNC012308)". The record is from RNAcentral. Lineage: Eukaryota; Viridiplantae; Streptophyta; Magnoliopsida; Brassicales; Brassicaceae.
GGGUUUAGGGUUUAUCUUUGGAUUAGGAUUUAGUGAUUUAAGUUUAGGGUUUAGUAUUUAGAAAGUGAGGGAGUAUGGUUUUGGGUCGGCAUUAACUUCUUCCUUGCAAUCAUAUAUAUUUCAUAAUCUCACCAAUAGGUACUAUGUUAUUUAUUUUAUUUCAUUCUAUUUGGGUUUAUGAUUUAUAUUUAGGUUUAGGGUUUAUAUUUUGGUAAGGGUUUAGUGAUUUGAGUUUAGGGUUUAGUAUUUAGAAGGUGGAGAAGUAUGGUUAUGGUCGACGUUAACUUCUUCCAUGCAAUCAUAGACAUUUCAUAAUUUCACCAAUAUGUACUAUGUUAUUUAUUUUGUUCCAUUCUAUCUAGGUUUUGGGUUUAUAUUUGAGUUUAUGGUUUAUAUUUGUUUUUAGGGUUUACUAAUUAGAUUUUAGGGUUUAGUAUUUAGGGGUUGGGUGAGAUUGAGAUAAUGUUUAGUAUCUAGGAAUUGUGGUUGGGAUAUGUUUAGUAUUUAGGGAUUAUAAGUAGAGUUAUAAUCCUAUACUACUUAGGUGAUAUGGAACAGAACACUCGUGCAUAUGUAUGUAAGAUAUACGUGGAUGGUUCUUCUUUCAUUUUUUAAAAUAGUUUUCAGGUGCUCUUGACCUUUUAUUUGGAAUAGUUUAAAUUGUAUUAAGGUCUACAUUUCCAUGUAUGAUUUAGUUCUUAUUUGAUAGGAUUCAAUUUAUUUCGUGAUAUAUACUAUUUUACCAUAUAGAAUAGUAAUUCAGGUAAUUUCUUUGUCUGUUAAGUUAACAGAAGUUGUGUAACGCGUACAAUUAUUAUCCACUCAUGUCGCAUCAUUCUCUUACAUUAUAGGCGUUAAUUAUGUACCACAAAAGACAACCACAUCGUUUACUUUAGAAAUUGUAAC